Molecule: ribosomal RNA, 495 nt
Filed under: uncultured bacterium
Lineage: Bacteria
Description: partial 16S ribosomal RNA
Rfam family: Bacterial small subunit ribosomal RNA
Source: RNAcentral
GAUGAACGCUGGCGGCGUGCCUAAUACAUGCAAGUAGAACGCUGAAGGAGGAGCUUGCUCUUCUGGAUGAGUUGCGAACGGGUGAGUAACGCGUAGGUAACCUGCCUGGUAGCGGGGGAUAACUAUUGGAAACGAUAGCUAAUACCGCAUGACAGCAGUUAUUGCAUGAUAACUGUUUAAAAGGGGCAACUGCUCCACUACCAGAUGGACCUGCGUUGUAUUAGCUAGUUGGUGAGGUAACGGCUCACCAAGGCGACGAUACAUAGCCGACCUGAGAGGGUGAUCGGCCACACUGGGACUGAGACACGGCCCAGACUCCUACGGGAGGCAGCAGUAGGGAAUCUUCGGCAAUGGACGGAAGUCUGACCGAGCAACGCCGCGUGAGUGAAGAAGGUUUUCGGAUCGUAAAGCUCUGUUGUAAGAGAAGAACGAGUGUGAGAGUGGAAAGUUCACACUGUGACGGUAUCUUACCAGAAAGGGACGGCUAACUACGUG